GACGAACGCUGGCGGCGUGCCUAAUACAUGCAAGUUGAGCGAUGAAGAUUGGUGCUUGCACCAAUUUGAAGAGCAGCGAACGGGUGAGUAACGCGUAGGGAAUCUGCCUUUGAGCGGGGGACAACAUUUGGAAACGAAUGCUAAUACCGCAUAAUAACUUUAAACAUAAGUUUUAAGUUUGACAGAUGCAAUUGCAUCACUCAAAGAUGAUCCCGCGUUGUAUUAGCUAGUUGGUGAGGUAAAGGCUCACCAAGGCGAUGAUACAUAGCCGACCUGAGAGGGUGAUCGGCCACAUUGGGACUGAGACACGGCCCAAACUCCUACGGGAGGCAGCAGUAGGGAAUCUUCGGCAAUGGACGAAAGUCUGACCGAGCAACGCCGCGUGAGUGAAGAAGGUUUUCGGAUCGUAAAACUCUGUUGGUAGAGAAGAACGUUGGUGAGAGUGGAAAGCUCAUCAAGUGACGGUAACUACCCAGAAAGGGACGGCUAACUACGUG
This 497-nucleotide ribosomal RNA is filed under the name uncultured bacterium. RNAcentral's name for it is "partial 16S ribosomal RNA". It matches the Rfam family "Bacterial small subunit ribosomal RNA", at positions 28 to 507 of the family's 1533-position model. The record is from RNAcentral.